UGGUAUUGAGUCCAUGUCGGC
RNAcentral lists this non-coding RNA (21 nucleotides) under Sclerotinia trifoliorum. Lineage: Eukaryota; Fungi; Ascomycota; Leotiomycetes; Helotiales; Sclerotiniaceae. The record is from RNAcentral.